CAUCCCAAAAAGAGAUGUAUGAUGAAACGACCAGCAUAUGUGUGUAUUCUCUCAGCAAAGGGUGAAGGAUAAUAUCCUGUUGAGAAAAAUGGUUAAGAUUACUUUUUUUUUUUUUUGGGAUUAUAUUUGCUCUAUUGCUCUGUGUGUUCUCCUACUCUGGAUGUAACCGAGGUGGCGGAUGUAUUUUGAGCAAAUAUCACUGACCUUUUUUUGCCCUUGGCGACCUUUCGAACCACAAUCUCAUUUCUAACAGCGAUAACCACCUGAGACCCUAUACAGACGGAAAGGGUAUAUUAACGGCAUGGAAGGCAAUUGUAAUGUGGCAAAUGUCACUGUUUGAGGGGCGAAUCUCCAAGGCGAGCGUCUGCUCACCUCCCACGCAGGUGUUGGACCUUUGGAUGUUUCUCUUUUGACUCAACCUCAACCCACCAGCCUGCUUCUUCUUCUUUGGACACACACACAUUUGUUGACAAUGCUACGCAUGGCCACACACCUCACCACGAUCGAGUCUCUUUCAGGAGCUCGGUGACUUCCAAAGAUGCCAAAUGUCCCAAAAGUCCAUUUGUGAAAA
Poecilia reticulata (guppy) is the source of this 571-nucleotide non-coding RNA. The record is from RefSeq and is a predicted model, not a curated record. NCBI's taxonomy places the organism in Eukaryota, Metazoa, Chordata, Actinopteri, Cyprinodontiformes, Poeciliidae.